RNAcentral lists this long non-coding RNA (318 nucleotides) under Melopsittacus undulatus (budgerigar). RNAcentral describes it as "lncRNA (ENSMUNG00000020363.1)". Lineage: Eukaryota; Metazoa; Chordata; Aves; Psittaciformes; Psittaculidae. The record is from RNAcentral.
CAGCACAAGAGCAGUGCACAGAUAAAAACAAUCAUGAGGUACAGGAUUACAGAAAGUCAAUAAAAGCACAAUGGAGAAAUCUGAAGACUUUUAUAGCAAAUCCUCCAGUGUCAAAAUGAACACAGAUAGCGGUGGGUGUGCUCGCAAACGUGCUGCAAUGUCUGUCACAUUAACAGCUGUGAAGAGAGUUCAGAGUUCUCCAAACCUAUUGGCCUCAGGUAUAACUGCUUACCAGGGAGAUAUUGCUCCUGAAUGGCUUUUCUAUUGUGUUGUGCGUUCCUGCAAUAUGACUGCAAGGAAGAGAAGGGUAACUGUAUU